GUCUCAUACUGUUCCAGAGCCCUGAAACACAGCAUGCAGGCCGCAUAGCAGCCGGUGCUGAGACUCCAUGCUGUGGCCCGCGGGUCAUUCACAGAAAUAACAGGGAUGACCGCCGAUGAGUGAAACCAUUGCUGGUCUCCCAUAGCAUAGUUGGUGGCCAUUGAUGGCGAACGCACCAAUGGACAUUCAUAGAGGAGGCAGCCAGAAAAAUCUACCAGGCAUAGAAUCAUGGAAGACUGAUGACAGACAUAGACCAGUGAGCCAGGCACUGCUCACAAAAAAGGGAUUGAAAACAUACAUAAGUAUAAAAUAAUAUAAAAGAACACUGUGCAGGGCUGUAGAGACUAAUGCAUUGGCCUUCACACAAAGAUGAAGGCAAAGGAAGAAGGAGAACGGGAAGACGGAACAUAAAACCUAGUUACCUCAAAACAGCUUUAGAACUUAGGUGAGGGACUGGUAUCACCAGCACCAGCUAAUGAAUAAUUUCCCAGCUAUCCACUCAGAAUUUAACCACAGGACAGCUCUACAUAUGCCCCCAGGAAAACCACACGAGACAGUCAGAAGUAUCACGGCUACUGACUCGGAAAAGGAGUAGUACUCUACAUGUUUGAUGCUUUGCAUGUGUGAAGGUUGGUAAGAGGGUGACCAUUAAACUUUAUCAGUGGCCAGCAGAGUAGAGUGUGAUCGGGAGGGGGAUCUUCGAGCAUAGUGCCAUCUGUUCUGUUUUAUAAUUCAUCAUU
Molecule: long non-coding RNA, 740 nt
Organism: Pseudophryne corroboree (corroboree frog)
Lineage: Eukaryota; Metazoa; Chordata; Amphibia; Anura; Myobatrachidae
Exons: 4
Source: RefSeq, a predicted model, not a curated record